This 19956-nucleotide long non-coding RNA is filed under the name Panax ginseng (ginseng). RNAcentral's name for it is "long non-coding RNA (PGIN_LNC010271)". The record is from RNAcentral. Lineage: Eukaryota; Viridiplantae; Streptophyta; Magnoliopsida; Apiales; Araliaceae.
GAAAACUAAUUUAUAAAACAGGGCUAUCUAUUCCACUCUUGUUUCUUCCUUAAUCAGUUUCAAUCAACUCCUCUUCCUAUUCCAUUUCACCGCCUCCUUCCUACACUAAUUCCCAAUUUAUCAUCUCGGUUGAGACAAGGAGAAUGGAAGCUUAAAAAAAAAAUCAAUUCAGCAGUGAGGAAUUUAGUCAGAAGAUAACAAGAAGUCAUAGCAAGCAAGUUUAAGGUAAUACAACUCAACUUUUCAUGAUUAUGAAUGUAAGGUUUAAAUAAAGUGAGUGAGUUAGUUUUUAAAUAAAAAAAAAAUAGUUAGUGAUAUGAAUUGGCUAGCUAUAUAUGCUUAAUCGAAGUGUUAGUAAUUGAUUAACAAAGAUGAGAUUGAAAUAUUACAUCUCAUAAUAGAAUCAAAAGAGUUGAGUUUUGAAAAGUGAAUAAACUAAUUAGUUUACUAAAUAGUUGACUAUAUAUGAAUUCGAUUGUGUAGAAGAUUGUUAUUAAACUGGUAUAGUGCAAAGGAGUAUAGGUUGGGUUGUGAGGAGUAAUAAGGUGGGAAAAUGAGUAGAACAGAAAUCAAACAUCAAGAAAUCUGCGUUUUGAGGAAACGCACACCAAGUGCUUGAUAAAAGUCUUCUGUGGACUGUUUUGGUUAAAAACGAAGAAUUAAGUAAAGCCGAGUCCAAGGUUACAUAUAUAUACACUAUAUGUAGAUAAUUAAAGGAUUUGAGCAAAUCAAAUUAGAACGAAAAGCAAUUGUAAGCCAAAACGAAAAAUCGAAAUAUAGUGUGUCGGGCCACUUAUGGACUAACAUUGGACUGUUUUGGAACUUUUGUGGUUUUGAUUCAUGUCUGAAAUUUAAGUUUUGUAGUAGUAUGUUAUACUCCUAUGAGUUAUGAAAAUAACCCAAUUGGAACGAAGUAAAAAUGAGCUCAAACGAAUUUAUAGUGAAUGUUUUGGUAAAACAUGUUAAAAACUAAGAAAAACAAGUGAACUGCUGCCCCUAAAAUAAAAAUUCGGGGUUAGGUAGGAUGUUCAGAAAAUUCUGGACUUUUGGUAUGUUAUAGUACACUGAAUAAGCUUUCCAUAAACUCUGGAACGGACUAAUUCCGACUUCGGAGCAAAGAGUUAUGACCGUUCAAAGUAGUCGCGUCGAAACUGUCUAACCAACUCGGGGUAGUCACCUUGAACGAAUUUUCUGGAAUUCUGUGUUUAGAAUUUGGAAAAGAUCAAAGAAUAAAAGUUGUAGUCCCGGAAGUUAGCUUCGCCUAGGCUCAAGAAUUGCCUAAAAAUGUUUUAAAACGAAAAAGUUAUGACUGUUUUAGUGAGAGAGGGUACAGCUGGGAAGAAAUUGAAACUGUUAUGAACGUCUACUUUUGACGCAUUAUUUGGGCUGCCUAAUGAACCCGAAUUUGGUGACUCGUACAUUUAAAAAAAUAGUCUCAUAUACUAUAUAUUACAUAUUUAAAAUUCGUUGUAAUCCACUAUACGAGCUAGAAGUAAUGAGGUCGCAAAAUGGGCAUGUUGGAAACAGAGCUGCUGCCCACGGCAGCAGCAGUGGUGAUGUUUGGCAAUGGCUGCGGGCUUUCCUUGGGCUCUCAGCCAACAAAUUUAAAUUGCUUAAAAUGUACGGCUAAUGUUUUACUAUAAUAGCUGAGUAUAUCACCUACAUAAUAUCAAAAUUCCAUAUGAAUAGAUCAAAGUCGUGAGGAGCGAAAAGCUAGCAAAACAAGAGAAAAGAAGAAGGGGUUGUUGCCCAUUAGGCAGCAGUGAACAACAGUAGACAGCAGCAAGAAGCUGCUACAGCAGCGUUGAAGAGCCAUCUUGGCUUCGAAAAUUAGUUCAAUAGUUUACCCAAAAAGUUGAGUUUGUCAUCUCUAGGACACCCCCAAAUCUAGGUACUUCGUUCCCAUAAGACUUGGUGUUCACUUUCCAUUCAUUCAUACUAUCUACCCAAAUAUAAUAAAAUUAAAUCAUAAAACAUCCCUUUAAAAUAGGGUUACAUCAUUAAAUAAACAUCUUCCCAAGUUGUCUAACCUUAAUCAUCAUAUAAGUGCGAAAAUAAAAUUAUUAAAUCACAUCAUUAAUUAAAAGUCUAUCAUCAUAACAAUAAAUGAAAAUUAUAAGUCUACAUCACUUGUACAUUUCCAUUGCUAGUUGAAGGCUCAUCUACCUUCUCAACUUUAGCUGCAACAAUUAUAUUUAACAAGAGUGAGCAAAACAAAUGCUCACUAGGUAUAGCAACGAAUCAACAAGAUAAUAAUAACUACCAAUGAAUAGGCUCAUCAAAACUGAAUAGUACUCUAUCAAUGAUAAUCAAAGACUGAAAUCAAAAUAUGGAAUAUAUGUAUCUGAGGGUCAUAAGACCACGAACUAUGUCUACAGUUGUAAGUAAUCUUUCAACUACAACUUUAACAGUCAUAAGACUAUAAGGACUCCUCGUACUUAGGGGGAUCAACCCUUUAUACAAUGUAUUGUGCACAAUCAUUUCAACGCUAAGCGUAAAUUAUCCCCUAAUAAUAGGGUUGUUCAUCUCAGUAUUUAGAGUACAAGUCCGCACCAAAGUAAGUUUGGUUUGGAUACAUUUCAAGGUUAAUUUAGAAUUCAACGGUCAUCAACUAAGGAUUAGUUGAAUACGAUAUUGAUAACGUCAUGUUAUGGAAUAAUCAUAACUGAAUCGACAUUGUAAAUUAAGAUCAUGCUUUAGGAAUAAACUAAUAGCAUAAACAUCGAAUAAUCAUAACGUACCUUACUUGAACAAUAUUAAGCCAAGGUUAUUUAGAAUUGAGUACUAAGCAUGCAUAACCAAUAGUAAUUUAAACGAUAAAACUUGUUCAACAUGAGUAUAUCAGAAUAUGUAAACUUGCAUGCUAGAUAACAAGUUAAAGACAAGAAUAACUUGUUCAAUAUCAGAAUAAGAUUUAGAAAUCAUAAACAAACUAAAUACAAGAACUUGCUCAAUCGUAAGAAUAAACUUGCACAAUGUAAUAAAUAAACUAGCUCAACGAAAGUGUAGAGUUAGAAAACUUGCUCAAUUGUAAAAGUAGAAUUAAAGAGCUUGCUCAAUGUAAAAAAGAUAAGUUUAGAAACUUGCCUCGAGAAUAAGCUAUAAUAUUAAACUCACGUUCACCUACACAUAGGUUUAGAACCACAAUAUCUCUUAGACAUACUAAAAUACCAUAACAUAUGCAUUUCUAGUUAGACUUGUUAUUUCCGUAUAAGUCUUAUACUACCAUAUACAUUUCAGAAUUUCCAAGUGUUAACAUCACAACACUUAUCUAACAUUCAUUGUAUAAACUAAGUUAUAACAUAACACGUUCAUAACUUAUAAUCAUUUAAAACUUUGAACUACUAACCACCUAACACGAUUCUGUUUUAACCAUGUUAUUACAUGUUUGACACCUUAACACAACCUUAGACCAAGCUAUAGGGGUGUUUCAAGGUCUGCAGUAGUAGCAGAACAAACUGUCUCAGGACAGGGUAUGGCGCAACUGCGCCACACACAGGCCUGGGACCGGUGCAACUACACCGGCACAGCUGCGCAGUUUUUAGCCUUGGCACCAGCGCAGCUGCGUUGGUGCACAGACAGAGGCAGAGACAGCUUUGAACAGUAGCCGACUUUAGCCCCAAAAACACAAAUUUCACCCACCAAACAGUAAUAUGUACACAAAUAAUUGAUAUAAAACUAUCAUAAACAUGUUUGCUAACAUAUUCCUCAACAUAGAACAAUUUACAUCAACUAAAACUAGUUUAAUUUCUCAAAUUUUGCGUUUUCAUAUAAAAACUCAAUUUUUGAUAACCUUCACGAAAAUCAACACUAUAAACACAAUUCAUGUCCAAAUUGCUUCGUUCAAAUUACGUUAUGUUCGUUUCUUAAUGAACUAGCAUAAUCAAGCCUCAAUUACAGUUUAGUAUACGAAUUGACCAUAAAAAUUAGUAUUUACAUAAGCCAUAUGAGAAAAUAUUCAUAACAACAUACACUGUAAUUAUCUUUCCUACUUUUAACUUUAAUUAAAAUACAAAUUCCUUGUUUAAACAUAAACUCUAAUCAUCAUUAACACAGAUAAUCACCAUAAUUAGUUGUAUAGUAACAUUUGAAAGAAAUAGAAUUCACAGAACUUGAGAUUUUAUGUCGUAAAUUCACACACACACACACACACAUAUAUAUGUAUGUAUGUAUGUAUGUAUGUAUGUAUGUAUGUAUAAUAUUGAGAUUAUGAAAAAUUACCUUCAAUUAGCUUGCACAACCUUGCUAAACACAGAAUUUGUUGUGAAAAUUCUUAAGACUCCUCUCCAAUUCAUCUGAAAACUCUCUUCUCUUCUCUCUUCUCAGUAGACUAAACUCUUAGUUAAGUGUAAACAAAUAAACUGAUAGGUUAGCCAUAAUACGUAUACUUAUUAUAAUAUCAGUUACAAAUAAAAUAUAACGUAUCUGUUAUAAAUUUAUUUUAUUUUAUUAUUUUUUAUAAUAAAAUCCAAAAUUUAAAAAUCCAAAAGUCAUAAGGCUUUGUUUGGCAACACCUCUUUAAAAUUUAAAGACUUAAUAUAUUUAAGCUUUGUUUGGCAAAACUAAAUUACACUCCUUUAAUUUAUUUUAAUAAACAAUUUAGUUUAUCAUUCAUAAUCACAUAUUAAUUAUUUGGAUUUCCAUAUCCACAUUAAUCAAAUAAAUUAGUUACACACUAUAUUUUAAUUUAAUAUACCAUUUAAACAAAUAACACAAAAUUAUAAUUUCAUUAUAAUUUUAUCUAAUAAUUUAACAUAUCAUUUUAAAUUAUUAAAUCAACACAACAAUAUAACAUCUCAUGUUAUAUUACAACUCUCUCCAUUAUAAAUCACAUAAAUUUAGAAUUUUAUUAAUUCACAAAUAUUUAGUAACAACAAUCACAUCAAAUAAAAUAUUUAUUCAACAAUUUUUACAAUAAACACAUCAAAUAAAUAUUUACAUAAUUCAAUAAAUAUUUAAAAUUAUAAUUUGAAAUUCCGAAUUGUUACAUCAUUCCCUCCUUAUAAUGAUUCUGUCCCCAGAAUCAAAACUCAAAUAAUCAAAAACACAUCAAAUAAAUAUUUACAUAAUCCAAUAAAUAUUUAAAAUUACAAUUUGAAAUUUUAGAUUGUUACAUCCUUCCCUCCUUACAAGGAUUCUGUCCCCAGAAUCACAACUCAAACAAUCAAAUCGUCACAUUCUUCCCUAAUUACAAAGAUUCUGUCCCUAGAAUCGAAGAUACAGAUUAAACAAAUAACUCAGGGUAAUUCUUUAUCAUUUCCGCUACGAGUUCCCACGUAGCCUCUUCGAUAUUGUGGUUCCUCUAUAUCACCUUCACAGAAGGUAUCACUUUAUUCCAGAGCACUUGUUCUUUCCUGUCGACUAUCUGGAUAGGAAUCUCUUCAUAUGACAAAUCUUUACUGAACUGCAACGGUUCAUACUCGAUCACAUGUUUGUAAUCGGGUUUAUACGGUCGCAACACCGAUACAUGAAAAACGUUGUGAACGUGUUCUAAUUCUGGAGGUAAAGCUACCUCAUAAGAUACUUCUCCCACUCUGCGUAGAAUCUCGAAAGGUCCAAUAAACCCUGUGCUUAGCUUUCCCUUCUUGCCAAAACGAAUUUUUCCCUUCCAAGGAGAAACUUUCAGGAACACGAAAUUUCCCGCUUUAAAUUCACGAUUCUGCCUGUGUUGAUCAACAUACUUCUUCUGUCGAUCUUGAGCAGCUACUAGUGUUGCUCUGAUGAGUUUGAUAAUUUCAGUGGUCUGCUGCACCAGUUCUGGUCCUAGCAGUUGACGUUCACCAACUUCAUCCCAGCAUAGUGGAGUUCUACAUUUUCUGCCGUAUAAUGCCUCGUAUGGCGGCAUGCCAAUGCUUUCAUGGUAACUGUUGUUGUAUGCAAAUUCCACCAAUGGUAGAUGAUCAUCUUAGUUUCCUUUGAAAUUCAUGAUGCACGCUCUAAGCAUAUCUUCUAGCGUCUGGAUUGUUCGUUCGCUUUGUCCAUCAGUUUGCAGAUGAUAUACUGUACUUAUCUUUAGUUGCGUUCCCAUGCAUUCUUGUAGUCUCAUCCAGAAAUUUGAUGUGAACCUUGGAUCUCUAUCUAAUACAAUUGACACUGGAACUCCAUGUCUUGAGACGAUCUCUUUAACGUAUAGCUUCGCCAGCUGAUCAAGAUUAAAUCUAAUCUUUAAUGACAAAAAGUGUGCAGAGUUUGUCAGUCUGUCCACUAUCACCCAUAUCGCAUCGUAUCCUUUCUGAGUCGUUGGAAGACUUACCACAAAAUUUAUUGUGAUAUGUUCCCACUUCCAUUCCGGUAUCUCCAACGGUUGAAGUAGUCCGCUUGGUCGUUGAUGCUCUUCCUUCACUCUCUGACAUGUUAAGCACUUUGCAACGUAUUUCGCGGCGUCUCUUUUCAUAUUUGGCCACCAAAAGCGUCGCCGCAAAUCUUGAUACAUCUUCGUACUUCCCGGAUGAAGUGAAUAUCUUGAGCUAUGAGCCUCUGUCAAGAUUUUUUCUUUAACAUCUUGUACUGCUGGAACCCAAAUUCGUCCCUCAAAUCUUAGUAUUCCUUUAGUAUCAACCUUUUAUUUCACUUCUUUACCCUCGAUCACACCUUCCUUUAUUUUUCUACAUUCCUCAUCCUGUAGUUGAGCGGUCUUCACUUUGUCCACCAAAGUUGGACUAGCUUCCAUCUGGUACAAUCUUUUGUCAGAUUCUUUUGGAAAUUUAAUUUCCAACUCUAGCCUUGCCAUUUGCUGAAAUGAGCUCCUCCUUAUCGGUUAACAACAUCAAUUUUUCUCGGUCAUUCCUACUCAAGGCAUCUGCAACCACAUUAGCUUUACCCGGAUGAUAAAAGAUCUUGCAAUCAUAAUCCUUUAUCAAUUCCAUCCAUCUCCUUUGACGCAUGUUCAGGUCCUUCUGUGUGAAAAUAUACUUCAGACUCUUAUGGUCUGUGUAGAUCUCACACUUCUCUCCAUAGAGAUAGUGUCUCCAUAUCUUCAGAGCAAACACUACCGCAUCCAACUCUAAGUUAUGAGUCGGAUACCCUUUUUUGUAGUCUUUCAAUUGCCUUGAUGCAUAUGCAAUGACUUUGUCGUUCUGCAUAAGGACACAUCCUAACCCUUGUGUGAAGCAUCACUAUACACCAUAAAAUUUCUUGUAUUAUCUGGUAAUAACAACACAGGUGCCACACUUAACUUCUUUUUAAAUUCAUGAAAACUUUCUUCAUACUUCUCCGUCCAAACAAAUUUUAUAGAUUUUCUAGUAAAAUUUGUUAACGGAGUGGCAAUCUUGAAAAAAUCUUGGAUAAACUGUCUAUAAUAGUCUGUCAAUCCCAAGAAACUUCUUACUUUUGAUGGAGUUCUUGGUGGUUCCCAAUUUAUCACAGCUUCGACUUUUGAUGGAUCUACAGAAAUCCCAUCCUUAUCAAUUACAUGCCCAAGAAAUUGUACACGUUCUAACCAAAAUUCACAUUUAGAGAAUUUCGUGUACAACUUUUCUUUUCUUAACGUCUCCAGCGUCAGACGCAAGUGUUCCACGUGUUCUUCUUGAGAUUUAGAGUACACCAGAAUAUCAUCGAUAAAUACCACCACAAACUUAUCUAAAAAUAGUUUAAACACCCUGUUCAUCAAAUCCAUGAACGCUGCAGGGGCGUUUGUCAAACCAAAAUACAUCGCCAAAAAUUCAUAAUGUCCAUAGCGAGUUCGGAAUGCCGUCUUCGGUACAUCCUCCUUUCUCACUUUUAGUUGGUGAUACCCACUUCUCAAAUCUAUUUUCGAGAAAUAUUUAGCACCCUUCAAUUGAUCAAACAAAUCAUCUAUUCUUGGCAAUGGAUAUUUAUUUUUAAUAGUGACCUUGUUUAAUUAUCUAUAAUCAAUGCAAAGACGCAUUGACCCAUCCUUCUUCUUCACGAACAACACCGGCGCUCCCCACGGUGAUACACUUGGCUGAAUGUACUUCUUUUCUAAUAGUUCUUGCAGUUGUACCUCAGUUCCUUCAUUUUGACCCGAGCCAUUCUGUACAGGGUCUUCGAUAUUGGAGCGGUUCCUGGCGCUAAGUCGACCACAAAUUCGAUCUCUCGGUCAGGCGGAUGUCCUGACAAAUCUUCCGGAAACACAUCCACGAAUUCCCUAACCACUGGUAUUUCCUCAAAUUUUACACUCUUCAUCUUUUGAGUAUCGACUAUGUAAGCUAAAUACCCUACACAGCCCUGACUCAACAACUUCGUGGCCUGCAUAAUCGUCAGACAUCUCAUUUGUCUAGGCGAUUUGCUACCAUGAAAAACUACCUUUGAUGGAGUCAUAAGGUUUACACACUUCUUUUGGCAAUCAAUUAUCUCUCCAUAAUUGAAUAACCAAUUCAUUCCCAAUAUCACGUCAAAUUCUCCAAGUUUUAUCGGGAUUAAAUCUACUGUCAUAACAUUCCCCUUAAUAUUCACCCUACAGUUCUUGUAUACGAACCUAACAUGAAUCACUUUCUUAUUCACAAUUUCUAUGUUUAAAGGGAAAUUCAACUCUUCACUAGGUAUUUCUAACCUCUUAGCAAAUUCAUCAGAUAUAAAUGAGCAAGUAGCACCCGAAUCAAAUAAUACAUAUACAUUUAUAUCAUUGAUUGGGAUAAUACCUGGCACGACAUCUUUUGAUUGCACCGCGUCCUGCAUAGUCACGUUGAAGGUUCUUGUUGUGGGCUUAUUUGUUGACGUUGGUCCAACAAUAGCCAGUGUACCUCUACUUGCAUUUCCCUUGCUUCCAUUCACCUCACCAGUUUUCUUCUUUGGACACUCGCGAGCAAAAUGAUACUUCGACCCGCAGGUGUAGCAAGCAUUCUUAUUGGGUUGAGUGUAAUUUGGGGCAAUGUGACCCUCCUGGCAACAAUUAAAGCAUGCCCACUUCCCUCUUAAGCACAUACCCAAGUGAAACUUUCCGCAAGUAGCACAUGCGUCAAUCUUCUUCUUUUGCUGGUUACCUUGCUGAUUUCCAGCUCCCACAUUUGCAUUCCACUUUAUCUUCAAAUUGUUGUUGCCAUUUCCACCAUUACCACCAGCACCAUUUUUAGUUUCUCCUUCAUUUUUCUUCUUCCUCUGCUCUUGAUUGUGCUUUGUUACAGCCUCGCCUCCACUCUCAGCGAGAAUUGCCUUCUCAAGUACUGCUGCAAAUGUCUUUAACUGGAACAGGGAAACCCUGCUGUACAACCAAGGCUUCAGUCCCUGCUCGAACCUUCUUGCUUUGCGUUCAUCAGUAUUCACUUGAUAUGGCGCAAACCUCGCUAAUUCGUUGAACCUUGCUGCAUAUUCUGACACUGUCAUUGUGCCCUGCUUUAACUCCAAAAAUUGCACCUCCAUCUGGUUCUUUGAGCUUUCUGGGAAAUAGGUCUCGAAGAAUAUUUUCUUGAACCUUUCCCAAGAUAUUACCCCUUGACCUCCUCAGGUUUUAUUGGCUUGCCACCAAUAACUAGCCUCUACUUUCAACAUGAAUGUUGCAAAAGUAGUCUUCUGAUUCUCCCCUACACUAGCAACAUCGAAAACCUUCUCUAUUUCCAUAAUCCAGGUCUGUGCUUCAACUGGAUUCAUGGACCCAUAGAAUUAUGGUGGCCCAACCGCCUUGAAAUUCUUAAAUGUCGCAGCUUGAUUCUGUGGCUGAUUCUGUAAUGCUCCUGUCAGUAACGUUACGAAUUGUUGAACUAGAUUAUCCUCAGCAUUGCUGUUAUUCUUAGGGUUCCUUUGUCGUGGUUGGCGUCUUGGAGUCAUUUUCUGUUAAAAUACACCCAUUAGAUUCUAUUCAACCUUUUAAGUAUUAUAUAUUCAACUUGCACAUCGCAAAAAUUAUCACAUAACACAAUAUCUUGAAUAAAUAGUAACUCUUAUUUAUUCAUAAUGUUUUAUAACAUAAUAAUGAUAGCAUUCAUACUAUCUACAUCUUCACUUUCCUGAACUACAAAAGUUGCAGGAUUACUUCAUCAUCAUCACAUCCCAUUGGUUAUAUCAUAUCCGGGAUUUACAUCAUAUUUACUCACUAAUCACAUAAUAAUUACAUUUAUGACGUUUUAUUAAAAUGCUGCAUAGCCUUACGACGCUCCUUUUCCUUAAUUCAGAACAUUGUUCGACGAUCUAAUAUGUAUGAUGGUAGCAUCUCAAACUGAAUAGGAUAACACAUGACUCGAUCUUGAGCUCGAUUGAUCAAGGUGUUGAAUACGUUAUUCAUCUCUUCUAUCUUGAUCCUCUUUACAUGCAUCUCUCUCUCUGCUACCCUGGCUCGUUGAAAAGCUUCCUCGUAUGCGUCUUCGGCUCUUGCCCUCUUCGUAGAUUCUUCUUUCAAUUUGUUCUCCAACUCUGUAAUCCUCUCUGCCAGUUGCUCUUUCUCUUCUUCAGUGUGGACCAGCUUCUCUUCAACAUUAUUCAGACGUUCCUCUUGAUCCUAGAUCUCAUCGUCCUUUUAUGCCAUUGAGGUCUGUUGUUCAGCUACUAUCUCUUGCAACUCCUCGACGGUAUCUUGAAGUUCCACAUUGCAGUCAUAUACUUCGUCUUACAUACGGGCGGCAAUCGAGUUAAGUGGAAGCUCUUCCUCCUCGUCAUCCUCAUCUCUAUCCGACUGUGGCAGCCCAACGGGGUCCUCCUCGUCCGUCUCUAUCUCAUCAUCCUCAUCAAGCAAUCCUUCCUACUCAACCACUGUGACCAACGAAGUUGUUUCCCGUGGCAGUAGCUGUUCCCAAACCACCUGAAUAUCUCGAGGCUCCUCCUCUCUAGGCAUCUGGAAUCCUUCCUCCCUAGCCUGACUAGAUCCUCCUAUAUUAGUCAUCUUGUCAACCAAAUUUUAAGUUUUAAUUACUAAUCAUUACUACUCGACACUCAUGAGCACAUAAGUUAUAAUCACAUAAGCACAUAAGUAUUUUAUUACUUCUUCCUUAAAACUCGAUAAAAGUUUAUCAUCACUAUCUUUUCAAAGGUUACUUCCUAAGGCUUUUCCCCACCUAAGGUUCAUAACCUAAGGCUUUGAUACCAACUUAUGACAACUCCAAAUCUAGGUACUUUGUUCCCACAAGACUUGAUGUUCACUUUCCAUUCACUCAUACUAUCUACCCAAAUAUAAUAAAAUUAAAUCAUAAAUCCUCGCUUUAAAAUAGGGUUUCAUCAUUAAAUAAACAUCUUCCCAGGUUGUCUAACCUUAAUCAUCAUAUAAGUGUGGAAAUAAAAUUAUUACAUCACAUCAUUAAUUAAAAGUCUAUCAUCAUAACAAUAAAUGAAAAUUACAAGUUUUCAUCACUUGUACAUUUUUCCCUUUCCCUUUCUAGUUGAAGGUUCAUCUACCUUUUCAACUUUAGCUGCAACAAUUAUAUUUAAGCAAGAGUGAGCAAAACAAAUGCUCACUAGAUAUAGCAACGAAUCAACAAGAUAAUAAUAACUGCCAAUGAAUAGGCUCAUCAAAACUGAAUAGUACUCUAUCAAUGAUAACCAAAGACUGGAAUCAAAAUAUGGAAUAUAUGUAUCUGAGGAUAAUAAGACCACGAACUAUGUCCACAGUUGUAAGUAAUCUUUCAACUACAACUUUAACAGUCAUAAGACUAUAAGGACUCCUCGUACAUAGGGGGAUCAGCCCUUCGUACAAUGUAUUGUGCACAGUCAGUUAACCGCUAAGCGUAAAUUAUCCCCUAAUAAUAGGGUUGUUCAUCUCAGUAUUUAGAGUAUAAGUUCGUACCAAUGUAAGUUUGGUUUGGAUACAUUUCAAGGUUAAUUUAGAAUUCAACGGUCAUCAACUAAGGAUUAGUUAAAUACAAUAUUGAUAACGUCAUGUUAUGGAAUAAUCAUAACUGAAUCGACAUUGUAAAUUAAGAUCAUGCUUUAGGAAUAAACUAAUAGCAUAAACAUCGAAUAAUCAUAACGUACCUUGCUUGAACAAUAUUAAGCCAAGGUUAUUUAGAAUUGAGUACUAAGCAUGCAUAACCAAUAAUAAUUUAAACGAUAAAAUUUAUUCAACAUGAGUAUAUCAGAAUAUGUAAACUUGUAUGCUAGAUAACAAGUUAAAAAGAAGAAUAACUUGUUCAAUAUCAGAAUAAGAUUUAGAAAUCAUAAACAAACUAAAUACAAGAACUUACUCAAUCGUAAGAAUAAACUUGCACAAUGUAAUAAAUGAACUAGCUCAACGAAAGUGUAGUUAGAAAACUUGAUCAAUUGUAAAAGUAGAAUUAAAGAGCUUGCUCAAUGUAAAAAGAUAAGUUUAGAAACUUGCUUAAUGUAAAAAGAUAAGGUUUAGAAACUUGCCUCGAGCAUAAGCUAUAAUAUUAAACUCACGUUCACCUACACAUAGGUUUAGAACCACAAUAUCUCUUAGACAUACUAAAAUACCAUAACAUAUGCAUUUCUAGUUAGACUUGUUAUUUUCGUAUAAGUCUUAUAUUACCAAAUACAUUUCAUAUUUUCCAAGUGUUAACAUCACAACACUUAUCUAACAUUCAUUGUAUAAACUAAGUUAUAACAUAACACGUUCAUAACUUAUAAUCAUUUGAAACUUUGAACUACUAACCACCUAACACGAUUCUGUUUUAACCAUGUUAUUACAUGCUUGACACCUUAACACAACCUUAGACCAAGCUAUAGGGGUGUUUCAAGGUCUGCAGUAGCAGCAGAACAAAUUAUCUCAGGACAGGGUAUGACGCAGCUGCGCCAUACACAUGCUUAGGACCGGCGCAGCUGCGCCGGUGCAGCUGCGCCGGUGCAGCUGCGCAGUUUUUAGCCUUGGUACUAGCGCAUCUGCGCUGGUGCACAGACAGAGGCAAAGACAGCUAUAAACACUAGCCGACUUUAGCCCAACAAACACGAAUUUCACCCACCAAAUAGUAAUAUUAACACCAACAAUUGAUAUAAAACUAUCAUAAACAUGUUUGCUAACAUAUUCCUCAACAUGGAACAAUUUAACAUCAACUAAAACUAGUUUAAUUUCUCAAAUUUUAUGUUUUCAUAUAACAACUCAAUUUUUGAUAUCCUUCACGAAAAUCAACACUAUAAACACAAUUCUUGUCCAAAUUGCUUCGUUCAAAUUACGUUAUGUUCGUUUCUUAAUGAACUAGCAUAAUCAAGCCUCAAUUUACAGUUUAACAUACGAAUUGACCAUAAAAAUUAGUACUUACAUAAGUCAUAUGAGAAAAUAUUCAUAACAACAUACACUGUAAUUAUCUUUCCUACUUUUAACUGUAAUUAGCAUACAAAUUUCUUGUUUAAACAUAAACUCUAAUCAUCAUUAACACAGAUUAUCACCAUAAUCAGUUGUAUAACAACAUUUUGAAAGAAAUAGAAUUCACAGAACUUGAGAUUUUAUGCCGUAAAUUCAUAUAUAUAUAUAUAUAUAUAUAUGUGUGUGUGUGUGUGUGUGUGUGUGUGUGUAUAAUAUUGAGAUUAUGGAAAAUUACCUUCAAUUAGCAUGCACAACCUUGCUAAACACAGAAUUUGUUGUGAAAAUUCUUAAGACUCCUCUCCAAUUCCUCUGAAAACUCUCUUCUCUUCUCUCUUCUCAGUAGACUAAACUCUUAGUUAAGCGUAAACAAAUAAACUGAUAGGCUGGCUAUAAUACGUAUACUUCUUAUAAUAUCAGUUACAAAUAAAAUAUAACGUAUAUGUUAUAAAUUUAUUUUAUAUUUUAUUUUAUUAUUUUUUAUAAUAAAAUCCAAAAUUUAAAAAUUCAAAAGCCAUAAGGCUUUGUUUGGCAACACCUCUUUAAAAUUUAAAGGCUUAAUAUAUUUAAGCUUUGUUUGGAAAAACUAAAUUACACUCCUUUAAUUUAUUUUAAUAAAAAAUUUAGUUUAUCAUUCAUAAUCACAUAUUAUUUAUUUGGAUUUUCAUAUCCACAUUAAUCAAAUAAAUUAGUUACAAACUAUAUUUUAAUUAAAUAUACCAUUUAAACAAAUAACACAAAAUUAUAAUUUCAUUAUAAUUUUAUCUAAUAAUUUAACAUAUCAUUUUAAAUUAUUAAAUCAACACAACAAUAUAACAUCUCAUGUUAUAUUACAACUUUCUCCAUUAUAAAUCACAUAAAUUUAAAAUUUUAUUAAUUCAUAAAUAUUUAGUAACAAUAACCACAUCAAAUAAAAUAUUUAUUCAACAAUUUCAACAAUAAACACAUCAAAUAAAUAUUUACAUAAUCCAAUAAAUAUUUAAAAUUAUAAUUUAAAAUUUUGGAUUGUUACAAUCUCUAAAUGGACAGGUGUAUAAAAUCUACAACCUACCUACAGUUUAAUACCAUUGAGUUAGUAAUCUAUAAAUUAAAGUCUAGUAGAGAUAUUGAGUAUCUAAAUUGGGGCUGUUAGGCCAAGUUUGAAACUGUUCAUGCCUCGAAGGGGCUGUCUUGUCAAUGAUGAAAAACAACAAUAUUUAAAGCAUUAGUGGACCUAAAUGGAACUAUAAAAUAUUAUACGUUGUCCAUACAAGUUAUAAUUACACUCAAAGCACAAAAUGAGUUCGAACUCACCUUGAAUACCUAAAAUAUAUAAGUUCAUAUAUAUAUAUAUAUAAUGUAACGCCCCAAAAAUUUGGAUUUUCCAGAAUUUAAGUUUAAAGAAUUAGUUAUUAAUAAAAUGAAUUUUUAUUAAUAAUAAGGUGUUAUGUGUUUAUUAAUCGUUCUAGAACCUAGGAUGAUUAUAAGUCGAGAGGAUUCUGGCUACGAGCUAGACUAAGCGAUUAAGAAUUUUCAAGACGAAAAUGAAAAUUUUCCGGGAACAAAAAUAUUUCUGGGGAAAAAGACAAAAUACGCACUAUUCACCCGACGAAACCUAAGGGUUAGGGUUUGAAUAACCUAAGCCGUUCUGAGAGUUCAGUAUGUCGAAAUGACAUUCCGUCGAAAGAUUUGACGAUAAUAUAUCUUGAAAAGUUAAGUAAGUAGAUAAAAGUUUUUCUCGAAAAACGUGCAGAAAUCGGAUAAAAUAAAAAUGACGAAAAGUACUACUAUGUACUUUUCAUUCGUUUGGCUACGUUAGGGUAAAACAUGAAGGAAAACGCUCAACGCUAAAAAGUGUUUUUCAGUUUUUCGGAAAUCCGAAGAAUACGUAAAAGUUAAUCGGUAAAGGAAAGACGAAAUAUCCAAAAAUAUUUGGAUUCCGAGAAUCGCAGUUUUUAAAACUGUCGGACGAAACCUGAAAAACGGAACCACGAAACUUACAGGCUAAAUUUCGUGAAUAGUAAGGAGGUUAACUAAGGAGGUGGAUGUACUAGACUUAAGUUUUAAGUAAACUUAAGUGUUAAGCAAACUUAAAGGCUAAGUAGACUUAAGUGUUAAGUAAACUUAAGGAGUGAGUUAACUUAACACCUAAGUCAUGAAUAGUAAGGAGGUGUGAAUAGUAAGGAGGUUAGGGGGUGAAAUGACUAAAAUGCCCUUAGCCUUGAAAAUCUAUAAAUAGUAAGCUUAAUUCAUUUAUUUGGGAUAUUGAAAAAUCCUACAUCUUAGAGAGAGAGAGAGAGGAUUCGGAUGGAGAGAGAUGAGGAAGAGCAUGAGCAUGAUUGAUCGGAUCGAAAGUGUUCGUGAAAUAGAAAAGCUAGCAAAUCGCCGAUUUUGUCUAGCGGAAGAAAAAUAAAGAGGAAAGGUAUUAAAACCUAACUUCUAUGUUAGAUUUUCUUUAAGUUUAUAUGUUUAAAACAUAACUUAAUGAGAAUAAGAAGUAUAUGAUGUUAGGAAUGAUUUCAUAUGGUUGAAAUCAUAAGAAAAUGAAGAAAUAAGAAUUUAAAGUUUAGUAAAUAAAUUUCUUAAGGAAGUAUAAGAUUCGUAAUGAAUUAGAACGAUCCGAGUGGAUUAUAUAAAUAAGUAGGUGAAAUAAGUAAGGAAUAAUGUUUUAUAACAUCAAAUUCCAAUGAAAAGUGAAAUUGUAAUCCAAAAUAUCGAUUAAAAUGAAGAACGAAUGAAGAACACGAAGAACAUGCAAAGAACACGAAGAACGUUGUUGAUGGACAAAUUUAAAACCAUCAUAGGAUAAUUGUUGUUGAUGGACAAGUUUAAAACCAUCGCGUAUAAGUUAGAUGCUUGUUUCUUGGUUAGGAACGGUAGAAACGUUCAUGAAGAACGGAUUAAAACUUAGCUAUAACGAAGUUAUGGCGAAAAUUUCGUAAAAGACAAACGAAAAUUAGAAAUUUAGUAAAUGAACCCGAACGUGUAUGGUUUCAUAAGAAUGUAAGAAAAUGUUGAAAACAUGAGUCGUGGACUCAAGAACGAUAGAAUUCCGAGUUCGGAUGACCGGAUUACGGACGAACAAACAAAGAGCAUUAAAAACGUAAAUGAACGAAGGCUGAAGAUCAAGCAAAUCGAAUAGCACGUUAACGGAUUCAGAAUGAUGUUCUAUCCGAGGGGGAUUGAAGUACGUAAGAUAAAGAAGAGAAUGGCUUUGGAAUGACCUCAUUCCGAGUUAUAACGAAUAAAUUAUGGAAGCGGGAAGAAAGCGUCUCAAAUUGGAUGAACGAACGUGAGGGGUUGCUAGGGUUGCGAUUCCUUAGACGUUGAGCGACGAGGGUAAUGAAUAACAUUUCGAUGUUAUGUCAUGAUAGUGAGAGAUAAGUUUGAAGCGUUUAGACGCUGUGUACGCAACGCUGUUGUGGUAAACGAGUGAUCUUAGCAUACAGCGAAAUGUAUGGCUUCGACAUUAAAGAAGAAUAACGAAUGGUAUUAAGAAAGCCGUAAUGAACGGUAAUAAGAUUAAUGGAAGCCGAAUGUGAGUCGGAUAAGAACGUUAGAAUAAAAUGUAUGCGUUGAACACUUUAACCGACGUGAAGGUUGAGGGUACGCAAAUAUUAAACGGAUAGAACCUACACCCCGUGUAUGGUUUGACCGUAAGAUAAUGACGAUCAAUGUUUAAACCGUGAACGGUAAAGAAGUUGAAUUAAAGAUAAUAACGUUUAACGUAACGAAGCCGAGUUAAGGAUUAAAGGGAAUGAUCGUUUUGAGUAUACAAAAGACUAUAUGACUUAGACGAUAAAGAGUGAAUACUGAGGCGUGGAAUUUAGUUGCCAGGAAGCCAUAAAGAAUGAGAAAUUAACUUAACGAAGAUUAUAGUUUAAUAGUUCGGAUAAGUCAAGAUAAGUAAGUUGUAGUACAAUCGUAACCUUUGAUGGUUGACAUAUGGGAGCUGGGCUAAACAAUUCCUUCAGAGAGCGAAGGUAUAUACAAAACUGGCAACCGAUCUAACUCACUGUUAUGGGCAGUGUAGACGAGACGGGAACUUGUUUGUUGGUUGUUUGUGGGAAACCACUCAGAGUACCAUAUGGACUACUAGCAGAGAAGCGAUGUGUGCUAAGUCUUAGAGAAGUAAUAAGAAGAAGAUAAGAUGUAAAACAUCAAAGAUGAUGAACGUAUAAGUAAGACAUCUCCGUAUGUCAUGAAGCCGUAGAACGGUAGUGAAAGUGGUCGCGUAAACUUAGGUUGCAAGAACGCGAACCCUAAGAAGUAAAGUUAAGUAAACUAAUGCAUAAGUCAAAGAUGUAUGACUAAUUAGUGUAUGUGUUGUUUUUUUUAUGUGCUACAUAGGAACUAGAAUGAGCAGUUCAGCGUAAGCUGUAGCUGUGCGUAAGGCAAGUUUCCUAACUUCAUUCAUACUUCAAAUGAAUGCUAGUUUCUUAAACUUCUCAGAUGUUGAACUUGAGAAGUUCCGUUUAUGUGCUAAUGUGUGAUAUUUGUACAAGGUGGUAGAACGUAUGAGGCCUUGUGCCACAAUGUGAACACUUCGAUGUUUUUAUGAGAUGAAUUGUUCUGUGAUUAACUGUUCAAUAAGAGAAUGCUCUGUUCAUACGUUAUUGUUAAGUUUGUGCUAAUGAUUCUAGCCAGACAGAAUGUGUAUGAAAAAGUUAGAAGAAUGAAAGUAUUUUAAAUUAAAGUGAAUAUUGUUUUAAAAUGAUAGGAAUCGAUAUUAUUCCUAUUAUUCAAGCUGCUUCAUAACCUUUGUUCGGUUAUUGAUGUCUUAAAAGAAUGUUUGAAUUCUUGAAGAUGUUUGUUCAACUGUAAUGACUUGUUGGGCAAUUGAAUGCUCACACUUGCUUUUAAAUGAAAAACAUUUUUCAGCGAACGAUGUUAGAAGAACUUAAGGGUCUUGUAAAGAUCAAAAUGACGGUAUCCAGAUGAGGUGCUAUUCAGGAUGUGAAUAAGCGAGAAGAUUAAGUGAAGAUUUAUAAUAUAGGAAGAUGAAAUUGAACUAUAGACUAGUUUAAGGAACUGUUAUGUAUCCUUGGUGGCGGAUAAAAGUCACUCUUGUAAGAUGAAAUGAAUAAUGUAUUUAUCAUUAUUUGAAAUGAAAAAGGUUAUAAGGUUUCCAGAACCUGGGAUUUGAGAGUAUAUGUUGUUAUAUUUAGCUAUAUAAUGAUGUAUGUUUGGAAGAAGAUGGGAUCGUGAUGUACGGAAUCCGGGUGUGAAGAUAGACCGGAUUUCGGGGCGUCACAUAUAAGCAUGUAGUAUACAUUAAAAGUGAUCAGUUUGGUAGCAUGAUAAUAAGAGCAAUGCUUUGCAGUCUGAGGCAAUGAUUGAGGUAAAGAAGAUUGUGGGCAAAUCGAAUGGGAGUGGGUUUUUGUUAUUAUGAGGUAAAGAAAAAAAAAAGAAGUUCAAUAGAAUUUAAUUUGAAAAGUUAUGAGGGAACUCAUAAUUUUUAUAACUUCACUACUAGAAUAAAAGUUGAGGACCCAUAUGCUAAUUGAUUCAUUGUUUCAUUUUGUGCUAACACCACAGUUAGUAUUGAUGGUAUUGAAUUUGACAAGUGUGAUGUAAUAGGCCAGAGCUUCAUGUUUCAUCAAAUUGGAAGAAUUUCAUAAUGGUGUAUAUAUAUUUAAUAUAUAUAUAUGAAGUGAGAAUGCGAAUUAUUCGUAAGAUAAAAUGUGAAGCUAAGUUACUAAUAAAGUAAAGGAUUCACGUACGAGGCGAUAACCUGGUUUAACUUAUGAGCUAUUGAGAAAGCAUAAAAAUUACAAAAGUUAAAGAAAUGUUAUAGUAAUGCCAUGUUUAUGAAAUAAAAAUUAUUCGUAAACCAUAUGGUCUUAAGUCUACAAAAAAAAGAUAAGAAAUAUCCGUUAAAAGGAUUGUAAAUGGUUUAUAACUCGAAACGUAGAGUAUUUAUAUACUAGAGCCAUGAGAGAACCUUUUUGGGCAAAAAAAAAGUUAUAAUGAACAAAAGUUUUUAAAGAAAUGUGAAAUAGUUUUAAGACAAGAACAAAGGAUUAUAGUUAAUGUAAAUAAAAUUAAGUUUACAUUAAGUAUGUGAAUUUAGUAUAUGAAACUAAUGUGUGUAUGAAUAUAUAUACUCAAUUUGUGUAGGAUCAUCACCGAACAGAUGAGUUAUAACAUUAAACAGCACUCAAGGCAAGUUUCUCAGUUUAUUUAUGUGGACGUAUAAUUGCUAUAGAUAACUGUUACCAUAAUUUAUGGUUAAAAGUAUGUAAUACCUAUGAACUGCAUUAUUUGCUUUGUGAAUGAUGAAUGUCAAAUUAUGACUAAUUAUUGAAUUGAGUUGGGGAACUCAAUAAAUAUGUGCAAUGAAUGACAUGUAUAGGACAUGUGUAGUAUGCUAUGGUAUGUAUGUUGCUACCAGCAGGACAUAAAUGUGAUAAUGCAUUUGUAAUAUGCUUGAACACCAAGAAUAUAAAUGCAUGAACUGAAUGUGAAACCUAUGUGCUAAGUGAUGCAUGAUAGACUGUUAGACUUGCUGGGUCGUCGUGCUCAAUCUUGCUUAAUUUGCAGGUUAAAGCUAUGAUGCGAUUUAUCGUGAUUAGGAGCGCAUGAAAAGAAGACUAGUGAUUUAAUUGAGAUUGUGUUGAAUCAUUUGAUGGUAUUUUCAUGUGUAAAUCACAGAUGUGUAAAUUUUUGAAUUAUUCGAUAGAUGAAGAUUAUUUGUUCUAAAGAGGGGAUAUGCUUGAAAGAAUGAAUUAUAUAUAUAUAUAUUCAUAUCUACUCAGGCUAAAUAAGUCAUAUAAUAAAUAUGAUUUUAGUAUAAAGAAGAAUUGUAAAGGUUGCGAUUCAGGGAAUGAAUGAAUGGA